AGCAAACGGUGCUACCAACAUUUAAAACAAGUAUAUUUAACAGUAUUCUUGUUGACUUUGGUUCAUUGUUUUUUAACACAAACGAACCCCCGUCGCAAAAGUAAGAGAUUUAUUUAUUAGUUCACACAAAUACCUGCACUCAACGCAAGUGAUACGCACAAGUUUACUCAGUAUAAGGAUAUUUUAUUUAUCAAAGUGUGUGCAGUUAUAUAAAGAGUAGAUAAGGAGCAGGAUCUAUGGAUAUGGUUAGUAAUAAUAGGAAAUUUGCCAACACACUUCACUAGCGCAGUACAUGCUUUACGAUCUACGCGACUCACAAAGACAGGAGAAUAUAGGAAAUACCUACAAGUUUUGGCACUGUAUGCUACCGCUGGGUGAAGCGAAGCGACGAAAAGUUCUUUUUGACAUUCGUCGUUCGACAUACAUUCCGUGCUUCCGUAACGGGCUUGACGCAGCUUCUCGUCUUUCAAAUCGAUACCGAGCGCCGACGGACUGUACUUUGCUGCAAAUUUAAGCUAUGAACUAAUUUCUCUUGAAAGAGCGUAUAUGAAGCGGUUCCCAUUAUCCUUUUGCACACGGAAGCACAAAAAACCGCACUCAUUCGACCAUUCGGCUCCGAACACAACGAUAGAAACGAACGUGAAUUAAAUACUCUCGACACCCGAUCAUUCCUUACAUCAUCAACCAUCGCCAUCCUGUCGCGUGUCGUGUCCCACCUGCUGCCAUUCCUUCAUUUUUCUCCCGCCGCGCUCCGCUAGUAUGACCCUCACGGUGUCGGAAACGGACAGCAAUAGUCUAAGGAACCCGGACAUGACCGAAACUCUACCAAGCUCUGAACUAUCCCUACUAGCCAAACUGGAGGCCGCCAACAAGCUGAUCGAGAGUGACUCGAAGAGUCUCAACUCGCUCCAGAGUUCGGCCCACAGCCGAAAGAGCUCCGACACGAGCCAGAUCAGUUUAAAUUCGGGCGCCUCCUCGGUCGGUGAAGAGGAUGUUUGGUCCACCUGGGCCAGCAUCGUCACCGACUGGGAGGCGAGCCAGAAGCGCAAAGGACCGACGGUAAAGGAGCUGGUACGCAAGGGCAUACCACACCACUUCCGGGCGAUCGUAUGGCAGCUGCUGUGUGGGGCUUCCGACGCGGAUAAGAAGCAGUAUGCCGAGUACAUUAAGGCGACGAGUGCGUGCGAGAAGGUGAUACGUCGUGAUAUUGCCCGCACAUACCCGGAGCAUGACUUUUUCAAGGAGAAGGAUGGACUGGGCCAGGAGGCACUGUUUAAUGUGAUGAAGGCGUACUCAUUGCACGAUCGUGAAGUUGGCUACUGUCAGGGAUCUGGUUUUAUUGUUGGACUGCUGCUUAUGCAGAUGCCCGAGGAGGAAGCGUUUGCCGUUCUUGUGCAAAUUAUGCAACAGUAUCGCAUGCGCGACAUGUUCAAACCCUCCAUGGCGGAGCUCGGGCUGUGUAUGUACCAGCUGGAGAAUAUCGUGCAGGAGCAAAUACCGGAGCUACAUCUACAUUUUCAAUCGCAAAGCUUCCAAACGUCUAUGUACGCAUCGAGCUGGUUCCUGACGCUGUACACUACCGCGCUGAAUCUAACGCUCAGCUGUCGGAUAAUGGAUGUGUUUCUGUCGGAAGGAAUGGAGUUUAUUUUCAAGGUUGCGAUUGCACUUCUUACGAUUGGCAAGGACACGUUGCUUUCGUUAGACAUGGAAGCAAUGCUUAAGUACUUCCAGAAAGAGCUUCCGCAAAAAGUCGAAAACGAUGCGGAUGGACUAUUUAAUUUGGCCUUCCAGGUGAAGAUCAAUACGAAAAAGAUGAAAAAGAUGGAGAAAGAAUAUGCUGAUCUGCGUAAGAAGGAACAGGAGGAAAUGGUGGAACUAAGGCGGCUACGGAGCGAAAAUCGUUUGCUAAAAAAGCGAAACGAACUACUCGAGGCAGAAAGUGCAGAACUGGCUGAUCGGCUCGUUCGGGGACAGGUUUCCCGCGCUGAAGAAGAAGAAACUAGCUACGCUAUUCAGUCCGAACUGCUGGCACUCCGGCGGGCACAUCUAGAAGUAUCACAUCAGCUAGAAAACGCUAAUGAAGAGGUGCGAGCGCUAAGUUUGCGACUGCAGGAAAACAAUCCGGACAAUUCGCUCGAAUCCAACAACUCUCGGCAGAACUCGUUCGAUGAGUUGAUUAUGAAGGAAGAAGCACUAAAACAACGAGACGAAAUGGUUUCAUGCCUGCUCGAAGAACUGGUCAAGGUGCGACAGGGUCUCGCUGAAAGUGAAGAUGUGAUUCGUAACCUAAAGACUAAGAUCCAAGAACUGGAAGAGGAUAAAAAACGACUGCGCGAAACCACCACAGACAACUCGGUAGCACAUCUUCAGGACGAGCUGAUUGCAAGCAAAUUGCGCGAAGCAGAGGCAAGCUUAUCGCUCAAGGAUCUGAAGCAACGCGUGCAGGAACUGAGUACUCAAUGGCAGCGGCAACUUUCCGAGCAGCGCAACGAUCCGGCCCAGAGCAAUGACUCCGGCGCAAAGAAGUUGCUGUUCUGGGAGUCGGGUCGUUCGCAAGAUUUACAAAAGCUCGAGGAGGAACUCAUGACCACUCGUAUACGGGAGAUGGAAACGUUAACCGAAUUGAAAGAGCUUCGGUUGAAGGUGAUGGAGCUGGAAACACAGGUACAGGUUUCGACGAAUCAACUUCGGCGGCAGGACGAAGAGAGCAAGAAAGUGAAAGAAGAUCUAGAAGAAGCCCUGGUUCGGGAACGUGAGCUGGCGAACAAAGCACGCGAACAGCAGCACCGUUACUCCGAUCUCGAAUCUCGCAUGAAGGACGAGCUAAUGAAUGUGAAGAUUAAAUUUACCGAGCAAAGUCAAACGGUGGCGGAGCUGAAGCAAGAAAUUUCAAGACUGGAAACAAAGAACUCGGAAAUGUUGGCCGAGGGAGAGCUGCGAUCUAAUCUGGACGAAUCAGACCGCGUCCGAGAUCUACAGGACAAGGUCGCCGAGCUAAAAGCUGAGCUGGGCACAGUAAUGGUUAUUGAAGACAUUUCCAGAAACAGAUAAGUGUAAUAAACCAUUCCCAGGAAGAAGGACGUCGGUAAGGAACACUACUUACAGCACAAAUCAAAUCAGCACAGCGCAUUUUGCUAAUGGCUUCCAGAAGCGCGUUACCCGUAACGGAAUUGGAAAUCUGGAGAAAUUGAUUUCCAACGAAAGAAGUCGCAGACAACACUAAAUUAUAGUACUUAUAAACCAUACUCAUUGGAGCAUAUUCGUACCAACCAUAAACGAUCAUCGUAGAUGUAGACGUGUUUGUGUUGACUAGAGAUAAUUGGAUGCCAAAUGUGAAUGUUUGCGAGACCACUGAAGAAUACGAGUAAUCAUCUGCACCACCACUCCGGGGAAAUUAAAUUUCAACCAUCAAAAUCCAAGAAUAUCCGAGACAGAUCUGAAGCACGAAACAGCUCAUCUUGGGAACACGGUUUUAUAGUCUUGCCGUUGUAAAACCGCUUCAAAGGAGGAAAACCAUUUAAGCUGCAACGAGUUCACCAAUCAAGAAGGGUAAACGAAAUUGGAUUGAAGGCGUUGUAAAAUUGAACAGCUGACUGCCAUCAAAAGCCGUGGAACGGCGUUGAACCUGCGGAAGAUCAAGAGCACAUCGAUACAGUCGAUAGAUUCGAAUGAGAUCGAUUUUGCCGAGAUACAGCUUUCGUC
This is an RNA transcript of Anopheles moucheti, 3702 nucleotides long. It is a transcript of the gene named ecotropic viral integration site 5 ortholog, with no coding region annotated. NCBI's taxonomy places the organism in Eukaryota, Metazoa, Arthropoda, Insecta, Diptera, Culicidae. The transcript is spliced from 10 exons. The record is from RefSeq and is a predicted model, not a curated record.